UACGGAGGGUGCAAGCGUUAUCCGGAUUCACUGGGUUUAAAGGGUGCGUAGGUGGGUUGGUAAGUCAGUGGUGAAAUCUCCAGGCUUAACUUGGAAACUGCCAUUGAUACUAUCAAUCUUGAAUACCGUGGAGGUCAGCGGAAUAUGUCAUGUAGCGGUGAAGUGCUUAGAUAUGACAUAGAACACCAAUUGCGAAGGCAGCUGGCUACACGAAUAUUGACACUGAUGCACGAAAGCGUGGGGAUCAAACAGG
This 253-nucleotide ribosomal RNA is filed under the name uncultured bacterium. RNAcentral's name for it is "partial 16S ribosomal RNA". It matches the Rfam family "Bacterial small subunit ribosomal RNA", at positions 524 to 776 of the family's 1533-position model. The record is from RNAcentral.